This is a long non-coding RNA of Cyprinus carpio carpio, 620 nucleotides long. The record is from Ensembl. NCBI's taxonomy places the organism in Eukaryota, Metazoa, Chordata, Actinopteri, Cypriniformes, Cyprinidae.
CUCAAGGGCCCUUCAAAACCAUUUGAGCCAGUGUCUACUAAGGUCAACUCACAAAAUGAGAUGAGCUGGGCUGGACUGCAGGGACUCAAAUCAGCUAAUAUAACUUCCACCAGAUCUCAGGAUCGAAGGGCAAUGCUCAAUCUCAUGAUGAACCAUGGACAUUUGGUGGAGGUGGACAAACUGCUGGCACGGUCUUGGAUGUAUCUGAUGACAGUAGAUGAGUUGGUCGAGUGCAGCUCUAUCAUCCAAGCAGAGCUCCUGGACAUUCUACAGAUUUUCACCAUGAAAUGCCCAAUUGAUAUAAACUACUUAACAUCCACAAGUGUAGCAGAGAUUCUGGCACACAUUCAAAGUUACUUGCUCGAAAAAAAAUACAGAUGUCCAAAUGAGGAUUAUGGCAUUCAGUGCAUACAAGCAACUUGUAAACUUCUACAAAAGAUCUGCGAUCUAGUUCAUUACUACAGCUAUGGAAACAAUUUCACUGAUAUUCCUGUUGCUUGCAUGAACCUUGUCGCCUCUGUAUCAGGAUUUGCCCAGACAUCACAACAAGCAGACGCUUUUUCUGAGAAGAUACUUGCAUUACUCAAUGAGGCCAAGCAAACUGUCAGAGCAUGGAGCAC